GUAGAUGUUGAUUUUGUUAGGAAAGCUGUCCGUGCAAUUGGCCGAUGUGCCAUCAAGUUAGAGCGAGCUGCUGAGCGGUGCAUCAGUGUAUUACUUGAGCUAAUAAAAAUAAAAGUGAACUAUGUUGUACAGGAGGCUAUUAUUGUCAUCAAGGACAUUUUCAGACGUUAUCCUAACACCUAUGAGUCUAUCAUUGCGACUCUCUGUGAGAGCUUAGACACUUUA
RNAcentral lists this unclassified non-coding RNA (225 nucleotides) under Hevea brasiliensis (rubber tree). Lineage: Eukaryota; Viridiplantae; Streptophyta; Magnoliopsida; Malpighiales; Euphorbiaceae. The record is from RNAcentral.